GGGGUGCUCUGGUAGGGUGUAUAGCCCGAGAGAGCCGCAGUGAAUAGGCCCAGGCGACUGUUUAGCAAAAACACAGGUCUCUGCGAAGCCGCAAGGCGAAGUAUAGGGGCUGACGCCUGCCCGGUGCUGGAAGGUUAAGAGGAGGGGUUAUCCUUUGGGAGAAGCUCUGAAUCGAAGCCCCAGUAAACGGCGGCCGUAACUAUAACGGUCCUAAGGUAGCGAAAUUCCUUGUCGGGUAAGUUCCGACCCGCACGAAAGGCGUAACGAUCUGGGCACUGUCUCAACGAGAGACUCGGUGAAAUUAUAGUACCUGUGAAGAUGCAGGUUACCCGCGACAGGACGGAAAGACCCCGUGGAGCUUUACUGUAGCCUGAUAUUGAAUUUUGGUACAGCUUGUACAGGAUAGGUAGGAGCCUGAGAAGCCGGAGCGCUAGCUUCGGUGGAGGCGUCGGUGGGAUACUACCCUGGCUGUAUUGAAAUUCUAACCCGCGGCCCUUAUCGGGCCGGGAGACAGUGUCAGGUGGGCAGUUUGACUGGGGCGGUCGCCUCCUAAAAUGUAACGGAGGCGCCCAAAGGUUCCCUCAGAAUGGUUGGAAAUCAUUCGUAGAGUGUAAAGGCACAAGGGAGCUUGACUGCGAGACCUACAAGUCGAGCAGGGACGAAAGUCGGGCUUAGUGAUCCGGUGGUUCCGCAUGGAAGGGCCAUCGCUCAACGGAUAAAAGCUACCCCGGGGAUAACAGGCUUAUCUCCCCCAAGAGUCCACAUCGACGGGGAGGUUUGGCACCUCGAUGUCGGCUCAUCGCAUCCUGGGGCUGUAGUCGGUCCCAAGGGUUGGGCUGUUCGCCCAUUAAAGCGGUACGCGAGCUGGGUUCAGAACGUCGUGAGACAGUUCGGUCCCUAUCCGUCGUGGGCGUAGGAAAUUUGAGAGGAGCUGUCCUUAGUACGAGAGGACCGGGAUGGACACACCGCUGGUGUACCAGUUGUCUUGCCAAAGGCAUCGCUGGGUAGCUAUGUGUGGACGGGAUAAGUGCUGAAAGCAUCUAAGCAUGAAGCCCCCCUCAAGAUGAGAUUUCCCAUAGCGCAAGCUAGUAAGAUCCCUGAAAGAUGAUCAGGUUGAUAGGUCAGAGGUGGAAGCGUGGCGACAUGUGUAGCUGACUGAUACUAAUCGAUCGAGGACUUAACCAAA
RNAcentral lists this ribosomal RNA (1186 nucleotides) under Priestia megaterium. RNAcentral describes it as "bacterial LSU rRNA". It matches the Rfam family "Bacterial large subunit ribosomal RNA", at positions 1745 to 2925 of the family's 2925-position model. Lineage: Bacteria; Bacillati; Bacillota; Bacilli; Caryophanales; Bacillaceae. The record is from RNAcentral.